Mirounga angustirostris (Northern elephant seal) is the source of this 3244-nucleotide long non-coding RNA. RefSeq lists it as uncharacterized. NCBI's taxonomy places the organism in Eukaryota, Metazoa, Chordata, Mammalia, Carnivora, Phocidae. The transcript is spliced from 3 exons. The record is from RefSeq and is a predicted model, not a curated record.
CGGGGAGGGAGAGGCCGGGGACUGCAGGAGCAGCUGGUGCUCAGCACGGAGGCAGCAGUGCAAACCCACAAGGCUGCACUUGGCCGUGGGAGCCCCAGGGUUCCACCAGCACAGCCCCUUCCUUGCCAGGAGCCCCAGACAGGCGCCCGGCAACCUCCGUGUUUACCCCACUGCUCAUCCCAAGUUGGUUCUGCACAGAGAUGGCCCAGAACGUCCUUAACCCAAGCAAGCAAAGGGCUCUGGUUCCUGCUGAGGCUGCAGGUUCGGGAAGCCGCGUGUCCUACGACAGGGACCCUGGAGGGCUGGGGCCCGGCCUGGAGGGGCUGACCUCAGACCCCAUCAACUGUACCACCCUCUCCUCGCUUCCCCCCGUCCAUCCCCCCAUGUCUGACCCCCUGCAGCCCUGGCCCAGUCUCCUGAGACCAGAGAAGUUUUGGAGACCUGAGGCCCUGAGGACAAGCCAGGGUGGACGUGCCUGAGGCCAGCUCGGCAGCGGAGUGUGGGAGUUUGUGCCCAAGGACCCUGAUGGUCUAGGGGUCCCAAGGAAAGCGACCACUGCCACGCAGUUCUCCCAGGAGCCUUCGGCCAUGUGGAAUGGGGGCCCCUGAAGUCGUUCCCCAUGACUUUGCUGGGCGAAGAUGCAGGGUCUCAUCUGCCGGAGGGACCGGACACUGGGAGUGCACUCCGGCAAGCCCAGCUGCAGGGCUCACCACGAUCCUGGAGCGCUCCGAGGCCCCUGGACGUCUCUCUACCCUGGCAGAAUGGGAUGUGGGCCUGAGGGCCAGGCAGGGGAUUUGGGAGCACCACUGACCGGCCUGAGACCCUGGCCUGCUCAGCGAGAGAGAAGACCGGGGAAGCACGACACACCAUACUUGCAGGGCACACCGUGGGAUGGGGGACGUGGAAGCUGGCGCCCACGGGCCGGCCGGGCUCUAACCUGAGCUGGGCCAGGGCCUUGCGCCUAAGGGGACCCAGGUGGGAUGUGCUAAGGUCCCACAAGUGUCCAGGCGAGUCCCAGGAAGAGCAGAGGAUGCCAGAGGCCAGAGCACCGGCGGCCGAGCCUGCCUCUGACCCUGGCAGCAGGGGGGCAGCGCCGGCUAGAGGCGCCCACAGCCUGUGAGGGAGGUGGGCCAACCACACAGGCCCCAGGGAUGGUCACUGACUUUCCCUCACUUGGUGGGUCUGCUGCUGAGUUGUGGGGCCCACUCUCACCCCACUCUGGGGCCCCCAUGUCCCGGCAUGCCUGCGGCGAGCUUCAGGACCCCGUGGGCAUCCCUGGGCACGGAAACAGGGCCCCGAGGGGCCCUAUGGAGGGAAGGGAUCCCUGAGACACACACCGGCCCCGCUCACAAACACUUGGUGGUCCAGGGGAGCUCCCGGCCCCCCUGCCCGGGCCCAGCCCCCACGUGGAUCCUUGUUCCCCUGGGGUCCUCUAACGGGAUGGGCCCCACUCUCCCAAAACUCCCAGCCACCCCCCUCCCCCGCCUGCCUGUCAGGACCGUGCACUGCGGCUGGAGAAUCUCGCACACAGACCAGAGCACCGACAUUAGGAUCCUUACCCAGAUUCGGCCACUGUCACCCAGAGGCAAGUCUGGUCCCAGCUACGCCCCUCGACUCACUGUCCAGACGACUUUCAGGCCCGUCCCAGACACACACCGCUCUGCUCACAGACCCUCCGCCCUCAUUCAUCGCGUCUGAACAACGCACCAGUAACCCUUCAAUAACCCUUCCACGUCAGCACAUUUUCCCGCGUGCCCCCCGAAUGGGUUGGGGUGGCUUCUUCACGUCUAGACCCCCGCAGAACUCACAUGGGCACUGCUGCCCUGUCUCGGAGGCCCCCCUUUUGAUCAAUAAGCCCCCCCUAUAAUUCUUGCCAUUAAUUUGUGGAAGGAACAAGCUCAUGGGUCUUAUGGAGUUUCCAACAUCCCAGACUUUAUGGAUGUUUUUCCACACUCUGUAUUUCUCGUUAGACCUGAUUGGUUUGAGGUCAAGUUUUCUGGCAAGACUGCUUCAGAAGGGGAAGGCCCUUGAGGGUUGGUGUGUCCCUUCCUGUGACAUCAGGUAGGUGUGUCCCCUCCACUGUCGGUGGGCAGGGUGUGGCCAGCUAGAGCCACCUGCCAUCAGGGUCCCCAUCAUGGUUUCUCAUGGUUUUAGCAGCUCCUGGCGACACUUUCGGGACCCGGAGUCAGCAAACCAAAUCCUGCUCUCCCAGAGCGGCUCCUGGCCUCUGACUUCCGAGAAGGCCUGCACCCUCUUCUAAAGGGCUCACCCGACUGGCUCAAGUCCAGCAGGAAGACCUCCCCUGAUCAACGCAAAGGCAGCUGGUUAGAGGCCUUGCCUACCUCUGCAGAAUCCUUUUGCAUUUGCCCUAGUCCGCCGGCGGGAAGCAAGUCACCAGCCUGGCAUGCACCCAGGGGCAGGUGUGGUGCAUGCCUGUUUGACUCAUGGUGUGUCCCACGCCACAAGGCCCUCUGUUGAAGCGACGACCGCUGGUGCCCGUCCUGGCCUGCCCCUGCUGCUCCCCCACCCCAGUCCGGGAGGCCGGCUGGCCGCACGGUGUGGACGUCUCCCUCCCUCCUCCGCCGCACAGGACUCGUUACGUGUGCCGCAUGGCAUGGGUGUUCCAUACAUACUUGACCAGCCCUCCAGGGAUGGACAUCCAGGUCUGAUGGACCCCUGCUAGCACGCAUGUGUGCAAGGAUGUCUGCGUGAGAAAUCCCGGAAUGCGACCUGCUGUGUCAAAGGUUAUGUACGCCUCAAAUUCACUGCAUUUUAUCAAAUUGCCUUUGCAGAAGUUGUUUUGAUUUAUAUUCCCUCCAGCAAAGCACCCGGGACUUUUUGCCCCAUUCUCUUGUUUUAUAGACCUGUGUGCACGUUAAAGCCUUUGUUUGUUUGGCUUUGUUCUCAUCUGAUAAGAAACUGAUGGUAUCUCUGUGUUCUCAUCCACAUUUCUUUUAUUGUCUCCAUAUAUUUAGGCCAACUGUAUUUCCUUUCCUCUGAAUUUUUGCUUAUCUUGGUUGUCAACGUUUCCAUUGGAUUCUUUUUAAGAAAAUUAUUUAUAGGCGCUCCUUGUAUAUUAGGGAAACGAAACUUCUGUGAUCGUAACUCAUUCCGAGUUUGUCAGUGCCCUUUUGACUUUGCCCAUUUAGGUUUUUACUUAAUGAAACACUCAACAAUUUUUUAACCUAAUUAAACAUAAAAGAACAAAUGUAUGUAACCAAAUUCAUGAGUCUUUCAGGGUUUU